UUUUAUCAUUUUGGUAUAAUUAACAUGUGAGGGAGUAUUAUUCAAUGUAGCCAAACUACCAUGCAUUUUGUAAUGAGUCAUCGACUAAAAAGAGAAUGGCUUAACUGUGCAAAUUUUAACUGGACAUAUGUGCCAUACGAUAAUGUCCCCUUUGCUUAAUGAAUUAAUUUUCAAACUCUGCAUUUAACUAAAAAUAAGACUUGCAGUCACCAAAGAAACAAAAAACUCAUUUCUAUGUAUCAAGUCUAUAGAAUCCAUUACGUGUGGGUAUAUUAACUGAAACCGAACCCGAAAAAUCCGAACCAAAAACCGAACCAAAGUUAAGAAAAACCCGAACGGGUUUAGAAUUCAACAAGUCCGGAUAUCUGUACCCGAUUGGUUAUAUCCGAUACCCGAACCAAU
Molecule: long non-coding RNA, 402 nt
Filed under: Brassica napus (rape)
Lineage: Eukaryota; Viridiplantae; Streptophyta; Magnoliopsida; Brassicales; Brassicaceae
Description: long non-coding RNA (BNAP_LNC014428)
Source: RNAcentral